This 500-nucleotide ribosomal RNA is filed under the name uncultured Desulfovibrionaceae bacterium. Its description in RNAcentral is "bacterial SSU rRNA". It matches the Rfam family "Bacterial small subunit ribosomal RNA", at positions 30 to 507 of the family's 1533-position model. Lineage: Bacteria; Pseudomonadati; Thermodesulfobacteriota; Desulfovibrionia; Desulfovibrionales; Desulfovibrionaceae. The record is from RNAcentral.
AUUGAACGCUGGCGGCGUGCUUAACACAUGCAAGUCGAACGGCAAAGGGGGCUUCGGCUCCCGAGUAGAGUGGCGCACGGGUGAGUAACGCGUGGAUAAUCUGCCCUCUUGUUCGGGAUAACUGCUGGAAACGGCAGCUAAUACCGGAUAAGCUCCACCAAUUGUAUGGUGGAGGAAAGGAGGCCUCUUCAUGAAAGCUUCCGCGAGGGGAUGAGUCCGCGUCCCAUUAGCUAGUUGGUGAGGUAACGGCCCACCAAGGCAACGAUGGGUAGCCGGUCUAAGAGGAUGACCGGCCACACUGGAACUGAAACACGGUCCAGACUCCUACGGGAGGCAGCAGUGGGGAAUAUUGCGCAAUGGACGAAAGUCUGACGCAGCGACGCCGCGUGAGGGAUGAAGGUUUUCGGAUCGUAAACCUCUGUCAGGAGGGAAGAAAGCGCAUGGCGCCAAUCAGCCAUGCGUUGACGGUACCUCCAAAGGAAGCGCCGGCUAACUCCGUG